This 440-nucleotide ribosomal RNA is filed under the name uncultured bacterium. Its description in RNAcentral is "partial 16S ribosomal RNA". It matches the Rfam family "Bacterial small subunit ribosomal RNA", at positions 338 to 795 of the family's 1533-position model. The record is from RNAcentral.
CCUACGGGUGGCAGCAGUGGGGAAUAUUGCACAAUGGGGGAAACCCUGAUGCAGCGACGCCGCGUGAGUGAAGAAGUAGUUCGGUAUUUAAAGCUCUUUCAGCAGGGAAGAGAAUGACGGUACCUGAGUAAGACGCCCCGUCGAACUACGUGCCAGCAGCCGCGGUAAUACGGAGGGGGCAAGCGUUAUCCGGAUUUACUGGGUGUAAAGCGAGCGUAGACGGCGAAGAAGGUCGGCAGUGAAAGGCCGCGGGUCAACCGCGGAACUGCUUUGGAAACUUUUUGGCUGGAGUACCGGAGAGGUAAGCGGAAUUCGUAGUGUAGCGGUGAAAUGCGUAGAUAUUAGGAGGAACACCGGUGGCGAAGGCGGCUUACUGGCCGGUAACUGACGUUGAGGCUCGAAAGCGUGGGGAGCAAACAGGAUUAGAUACCCGAGUAGUC